CAGCCGCCGCGGUAAUACGGAGGGUGCAAGCGUUAAUCGGAAUUACUGGGCGUAAAGCGCACGCAGGCGGUCUGACAAGUCAGAUGUGAAAUCCCCGGGCUUAACCUGGGAACUGCAUUUGAAACUGUCAGGCUGGAGUCUUGUAGAGGGGGGUAGAAUUCCAGGUGUAGCGGUGAAAUGCGUAGAGAUCUGGAGGAAUACCGGUGGCGAAGGCGGCCCCCUGGACAAAGACUGACGCUCAGGUGCGAAAGCGUGGGGAGCAAACAUGAUUAGAUACCCGUGUAGUCCCUGUCUCUUAUAC
This 301-nucleotide ribosomal RNA is filed under the name uncultured bacterium. RNAcentral's name for it is "partial 16S ribosomal RNA". It matches the Rfam family "Bacterial small subunit ribosomal RNA", at positions 509 to 807 of the family's 1533-position model. The record is from RNAcentral.